This is a long non-coding RNA of Cucumis melo (muskmelon), 441 nucleotides long. RefSeq lists it as uncharacterized. The record is from RefSeq and is a predicted model, not a curated record. Lineage: Eukaryota; Viridiplantae; Streptophyta; Magnoliopsida; Cucurbitales; Cucurbitaceae. The transcript has 3 exons.
CACUCCUCCCUCAUCAUCUCUUCCUCUAUUCUUUGUUCCUCACACGAACACCGACACUCCAUGCGAAUGACGACCUCUGCUUCCAAACACCGACCUUCGUUGGCUGCUUCCAAACUCUGAUUUCACUAUUAGGUGGCCAAGCCCUAACCCAAUGCAUGCCUUUAAUGGGGACAGCUUUAGUGGUACUUGCUGGGCUCAUUUCAGCUUUAAAAGUUGUUGGUGGAUCCUUAUUUGACCAUAGGUUUUCAUUCCUCGGUGCUGGAGAAGUGGGAGCAUAGUUAGAAUGAUUUUGCUAGGAUUACUUCAUAUGGGAUUGAUAGGUGUGUAAUUUUGGGGGAUUGGUUUUAGUUUUGGAAAUGUACUAUUUUAUAUAGGGGUUGAUAGUUAGACAUACUUUUGAAAUUAUUCAUUUGGGGUUGACUAUAAUAUUAGAUUUGUUCA